Molecule: long non-coding RNA, 1563 nt
Filed under: Sus scrofa (pig)
Lineage: Eukaryota; Metazoa; Chordata; Mammalia; Artiodactyla; Suidae
Description: lncRNA (ENSSSCG00070022325.1)
Source: RNAcentral
AUGUUUCAGAUGCUUUCUCAGCAUGACUGGAAUACGGUCCAAGGAACUGAGCCUCUGCUGAGUACAAUACUUGCCUUUGGAAAUGCAUUCUUAGAUCUCCAAGACCCUGUGAAGAUGCAAUACAUCACCAAGGAAAUGACUCUCUAGUGUUCUAUUUCAAUACAUCACUGGUACAAUGAUUAUUUAAUAAUGUAUUGUCAAGUGUCACAUAUCAAGAGAACACUGUGGAACAAAGAAAUCACUAUUUAUUAUUAGUACUACGUGUCAUCGUGUCAUCGCAGAGUCACCAGCUGAUGCUCAAGGUCACGAACCCAGAUCGAAGAGUCUACACAAUAGUUAUUAUGGUAAGCAGUAUGAUUAAUCCAAGUUCAACAUAAUUAAGCUUGCCUUGAAGAUCCUUAAAGAGUAAUUGUGAUAAUUUUGAUGGGGAGGCAAACAUUGCUUAUGUUACCAACUGCUAGGUAGAAAUUUUUGUUGUUGUUGUUGUUGUUGUUGUUGUUAUUGUUGUUGUUGUUGUUGUUGCUAUUUCUUGGGCCGCUCCCGCGGCAUAUGGAGGUUCCCAGGCUAGGGGUCCAAUCGGAGCUGUAGCCACCAGCCUAUGCCAGAGCCACAGCAACGCGGGAUCUGAGCUGCGUCUGCAACCUACACCACAGCUCACGGCAACGCCGGAUCGUUAACCCACUGAGCAAGGGCAGGGACCGAACCCGCAACCUCAUGGUUCCUAGUCGGAUUCGUUAACCACUGUGCCACGACGGGAACUCCAAGAAAUUUUAAUAUAAAUUUUAUUUUAAUAAUUUGUAGCUAUUACUUAUAACCUAUUCACAUGUCAUCUGAAUUAUGACUUGCUUAUUUCUUUAUGAUUUUGGUAGAUAUGUUUAUUUUGAGGAAAUUUUAUAUGCUGUACAAAUGAUACAUUUUUGCUAAACUACUAUACCUCUCUUCUACCUACAAAUAUCACAUAUCUUUUCUCCUUAAUUUAAAAAUGUAAAGCCUAUGCAGUAAAAUUGUCAUUGGAAAAGACUCAUUUAAUUGAUUUAUAUUAUUUGCAUAAAUAGCUUUCCUCUAGUUAUUUAUUUAAAUUAUUUCUACAUCACUCUUCCCAAAGGACCAGUUUUCAUCUUAUGGAAUCCUAUUAAAAUUUUCCUUAGAAAGUAAAGAAAAAGACUACCAUAUUUCAAUCUUCCACUGAGAAAAUAUUUUAUGAUAUUUUUGUUGCCUCUUCCUGAGACCAAUAUGAUUAUUCCUGUUUUAUCAAGUGAGCCUUUGGAGAAGUUAUAUAGUCUCAGAAAAUAAUUAAAAAAAAACAUUCAAGUAAAUAAUAUUUAUUUUUGAAAAGGAAGAAACAUUUAAUAUUUUGAGGCCAGGAUUCUCCAUGAUACUAUGUCUACCCUGAUAUUAAAUAAGUAUAUUUAAAAAUUACAGAACUACUAAGAACAUUUGAUAAAAUCAUAGGAUAAAAGAUUCACUUAUAAAAGUCAAUUAUACUUCUCUUUGCUGGAAGGAAAAUUUGGAAAUUAAAAUUCUAAAAAUAAAAUUAAAAAUAUCAAACCUAAUAAUUAAUAU